This 1595-nucleotide long non-coding RNA is filed under the name Marmota monax (woodchuck). The record is from RNAcentral. Lineage: Eukaryota; Metazoa; Chordata; Mammalia; Rodentia; Sciuridae.
ACCUCCAGCUGGCGGGUGUCACAGGUGACACUGAGGCGUCCCCCCUGCGUACACAUCUUGGCAUUCAGGAGGCUUCCCAGGGCCCUUUCUGGAAGCUCCACGGGAGGACGGGCUCCUUCUGCCAACUCAUCCUCCAGGAGCUGGAAUCGACCAUAUUCCCACCAGGUGGAGAGGGACAGCGCCACAGCGUUGCAGGGUAACGUGUUUUCCGUCUGUGACGCUGCACAUGGCGUGUCUUUGCUUACGAGUGAGAACAAAUGGCUUCUUGGCCUUCGUACUUUGCUUUUGAAAUACCCGUUUGUCUUUCAGCCAGCGACCACGCAGCUCGUUGAUCUUGUUGAUUUGCAGGAACUUUCUGUAUAUUAAGGGUACGUCCGUCUUUUGUUUCAUGUGCUGUGAUAUUUUCUCAGUCUCUUUGGAAUAAUCAGUUCAUUAUUUUUUCUUGAUAAAAGGAGCACGUGGUCCAGUGUCUAGAACUUCUUUAUAUCAGUAUUUUCUUUGCUAGUCCAGGACAUCUUUCCUAAUGUCACUUCUGCAGUGAGGGCCGAGUGACAUCUCAUUGGGAUAGACACUUUUGUGGCCCCAGGCACGUGCCUGCAGGCAGUGAGUGGGGGGCUACAACGUCCUGCUGUGUGGCCCCACCCUGGAGUCUGCACCUGAGCCUGCGGGGAGAGGAGAAGCCACCCCAUUUCCCUGCAGGAGGUGGCCCCGCUAACAGACUGCAGAUGCCCGCUGCAGUGGACUUGGUGGCGGGGCCCUGUGGCGUGGCCCUGUGGGACAGGCAGGUCCCAGAGGAGGUUUCUCCUGUUCUGCCGCAAUCCCCCGUGUCCCUGUGUCCUCUCCUUCCUCCCUUCACCAGCCAGGACUGGGGACCCAGGAGCGGUGAACUUGGGAGCCCGAGAGGAACCCACCAGGGUCGCAGCCGUGGGGGGCGGAGGGCGCGGGCAGGACGCCGGGUGCUUUACGUGUGGCACGUGGGGGUUCUGCUCACACAGGCAUUUGAGGAAGGGUCACCCCCGUGGCGAAGCCACACAGUGCUCAUGGUCUCUUCUGGGCAGGGGGCCACGUGGGCAGAGGCCCAGGAGUUGGUCUGGACCAUGUGGUGAGCACAGGCCGGGCCUGGCUGAGCCCCUCGCAUCUCCCACUCCUGAAUGCGGCCUUCGUAACCCGCCGAGUGGGCGUCUGUGUAGCAGGCACCAUGCCAGGGCACUGAGUGGGUCCCUGGGAUGUGCCAUCUACAGCGCCCUGCUGGAGGCCAGGGAGACAGGGACAGGCCCUGGGCACGCAUGUGGAGGUGUCCUUGGCCUCUGGAAGUCGCCACUUUGCAGGUGACGUGUCUGGAAUACACAGCUCUUGCUCCACUGAGGGGACCCAGGGACCCAUCUAUAAUGUCCAGGCCUGUGCUCUGGGCAGCUGUGGCAAUCCCAGAAAAAGAACAAGCAUUCUACUCUUGUGGCACCUCACUGCCACAGGUCUGUCCCCAAGGAGCCGACGGCCUGGAGAAGGUAUGUCCUGCUGUGAUGAGCCUCCUCCUUGUGGUGGCAGGCCCCUGCCCUGCAGGACACGCUGAGUGGGAGGAGGACACCUCCCCAGGA